UCAGUAACACGUAGUCAACAUGCCCAAAGGACGUGGAUAACCUCGGGAAACUGAGGAUAAACCGCGAUAGGCCAAGGUUUCUGGAAUGAGCCAUGGCCGAAAUCUAUAUGGCCUUUGGAUUGGACUGCGGCCGAUCAGGCUGUUGGUGAGGUAAAUGGCCCACCAAACCUGUAACCGGUACGGGCUUUGAGAGAAGUAGCCCGGAGAUGGGCACUGAGACAAGGGCCCAGGCCCUAUGGGGCGCAGCAGGCGCGAAACCUCUGCAAUAGGCGAAAGCUUGACAGGGUUACUCUGAGUGAUGCCGCUAAGGGUAUCUUUUGGCACCUCUAAAAAUGGUGCAGAAUAAGGGAUGGGCAAAGUCUGGUGCCAGCC
RNAcentral lists this ribosomal RNA (372 nucleotides) under unidentified archaeon. RNAcentral describes it as "bacterial SSU rRNA". It matches the Rfam family "Archaeal small subunit ribosomal RNA", at positions 90 to 463 of the family's 1478-position model. The record is from RNAcentral.